GAUCUGCUUCCAAUCUAAAUUGUAAACCAUUUAUAAGCUUUUCUUAACUCAACAUAUGGCCAACAGGAGUGAACUAUUAUGUUCCAAUUAGUGUAAAUAGUAGAAUACAUUAACUCCCAAUUUAUUAGUUAUUAUAAUAUCUAUAUAUGACAGAAAACCUUUUUUGGUGUAGUUAUAGUCUAAAUAAUGCAGUUAUGUUCCAACAGGGUGAUAGAAGAAAGGAGUGAAGGUGUUAAAUGUCAAUCUUAUAACAUAGGCUAUUUACUUUAAGUUAACACACUUUAUAACCUAAAAGAAUAACUCGAGUAACUUGGCUCUCCCCGUGCUGCCAUGAUGUUAGUUGUUCCCGAGGGUUACUUGUGCAUCGAUUGGUUUUUUAUUUUGCAGAAAUGUAAGCCUUGCCCAAGGCUUAGUUGUGUGUUCUUGAGACACGUAGCCCCUUUGAUGCAUUAGCCUUGCCCGAGGCU
Molecule: long non-coding RNA, 467 nt
Filed under: Carica papaya (papaya)
Lineage: Eukaryota; Viridiplantae; Streptophyta; Magnoliopsida; Brassicales; Caricaceae
Description: long non-coding RNA (CPAP_LNC011505)
Source: RNAcentral